This 553-nucleotide small RNA is filed under the name Histoplasma ohiense. RNAcentral describes it as "hypothetical lncRNA". The record is from RNAcentral. Lineage: Eukaryota; Fungi; Ascomycota; Eurotiomycetes; Onygenales; Ajellomycetaceae.
ACACAUAUUCCUACUCUCUGAGCAAAACAAGACUCCACUCUAGGCCAAGCGGUCCACCCUGUCAAUGCCGACAAGACGGGCACUUGAUGUCGUUACUUCUUAACUAACGAGCACACAUCCACUGUCAUCGAAAACAACGGCUUGCUGACAGGUAUGGUUGUUCAUCUUGCUGCCGCCCAGAGGGGGAGCCUCUCCAGGACACAGCGUAUUGAUUUGAAAUAUCCUGGUAAACUGGUAUGAGCCACAGGAUUCUAGCCAUUAAAUAAUAAAUUGUAAUAUAAAAUGAAUGAGUGCCAAUAGCCUCUGAUAUUCGUUGACUAGCCAGCAUCCAAAGGCCUCUUCUCUGACAUGUAUUUUGGGCGGCUACUGCGAGAAACCGAACACCAUGAUGGAGACCAAAAAUAAGUAUGCUAGGCCAGGCCAAACCUAUUCAAAGCGAUGAUUGGUGAAUGCACCUGGUCCAUUUAGACAGCUCCAGGGGUUGUCUAAUCAGACAGGUUCCAAUGACCGAUCGGAAUCAUAUUCCGUUCCAAAAAAAAAAAAAAAAAGGCUG